UCAACAAGAAUCUUGCUUCAGGGGUUUACACACGGAGUACUUAGUUACUUAAAUAACCUCGGGAAGGUCUGAGAUAAAUUCACUAACCUUCCAGCCGAAGGCCUUCUUGACAAAGUUGGGCAGGAGAACCAGAAAUUGGUCCAGUUCUAAAAUUUUUGGGUCUGAGACGCCAUUGGCUGAGACAAUAAUUUUAGAAACUGUUGGAAUCUCCUGUGAUUCGCAUUUUUAGUUCAAUUUGCAAGGUUCUAGCUUUAUGUUAGAAUAACUCAAUUCAGACUAAUCUCUUGUUGA
Molecule: non-coding RNA, 291 nt
Organism: Cinara cedri
Lineage: Eukaryota; Metazoa; Arthropoda; Insecta; Hemiptera; Aphididae
Source: the annotation of a GenBank genome assembly